RNAcentral lists this ribosomal RNA (845 nucleotides) under uncultured bacterium. Its description in RNAcentral is "bacterial SSU rRNA". It matches the Rfam family "Bacterial small subunit ribosomal RNA", at positions 8 to 868 of the family's 1533-position model. The record is from RNAcentral.
AGAGUUUGAUCCUGGCUCAGGACGAACGCUGGCGGCGUGCUUAACACAUGCAAGUCGAGCGGUAAGGCCUUUCGGGGUACACGAGCGGCGAACGGGUGAGUAACACGUGGGUGAUCUGCCCUGCACUUCGGGAUAAGCCUGGGAAACUGGGUCUAAUACCGGAUAUGACCUCCUAUCGCAUGGUGGGUGGUGGAAAGAUUUAUCGGUGCAGGAUGGGCCCGCGGCCUAUCAGCUUGUUGGUGGGGUAAUGGCCUACCAAGGCGACGACGGGUAGCCGACCUGAGAGGGUGACCGGCCACACUGGGACUGAGACACGGCCCAGACUCCUACGGGAGGCAGCAGUGGGGAAUAUUGCACAAUGGGCGAAAGCCUGAUGCAGCGACGCCGCGUGAGGGAUGACGGCCUUCGGGUUGUAAACCUCUUUCAGCAGGGACGAAGCGCAAGUGACGGUACCUGCAGAAGAAGCACCGGCUAACUACGUGCCAGCAGCCGCGGUAAUACGUAGGGUGCAAGCGUUGUCCGGAAUUACUGGGCGUAAAGAGUUCGUAGGCGGUUUGUCGCGUCGUUUGUGAAAACCAGCAGCUCAACUGCUGGCUUGCAGGCGAUACGGGCAGACUUGAGUACUGCAGGGGAGACUGGAAUUCCUGGUGUAGCGGUGAAAUGCGCAGAUAUCAGGAGGAACACCGGUGGCGAAGGCGGGUCUCUGGGCAGUAACUGACGCUGAGGAACGAAAGCGUGGGUAGCGAACAGGAUUAGAUACCCUGGUAGUCCACGCCGUAAACGGUGGGCGCUAGGUGUGGGUUCCUUCCACGGGAAUCCGUGCCGUAGCUAACGCAUUAAGCGCC